GCAGUGGCGGUUCCAUGGUAGAACUCUCGACUACCAUUCGAGAGACCCAGGUUUAAUUCCUAGCCAAUGCA
This 71-nucleotide transfer RNA is filed under the name Loxodonta africana (African savanna elephant). It matches the Rfam family "tRNA". Rfam says of the family: Transfer RNA (tRNA) molecules are approximately 80 nucleotides in length. Their secondary structure includes four short double-helical elements and three loops (D, anti-codon, and T loops). Lineage: Eukaryota; Metazoa; Chordata; Mammalia; Proboscidea; Elephantidae. The record is from Rfam by way of RNAcentral.